GAGCUUUAGAGUCAUUAUGGGGCCAUAAGUCUUGGCUAGCUUAGCCAGUGACUUGUGGGGUUUGUCGCCGGGGGCAAAGAUGUUACCGACGACAGGCAGAGGGACAGGUCCAGGAGGGAUUUUGCAGGACUUUGAUUUUCUUGCUCUUGCAAUUGAGCUCCGGAACCAAAUCAAAGUCCAUGUUAGCAGUAGCAGACAAAGUGCAGAACUUGAGAAAUUC
This 220-nucleotide unclassified non-coding RNA is filed under the name Hevea brasiliensis (rubber tree). Lineage: Eukaryota; Viridiplantae; Streptophyta; Magnoliopsida; Malpighiales; Euphorbiaceae. The record is from RNAcentral.